GGGACGUUAAACCAACAACCCAAGGGUGCCUCGGAAUGCUUGGUGCGCGACGGGGGCGGAUCUUACUUGCCGCUCACUGGGGCUUCCGCCCCGUCCCGUCGCGGCGGACGCGGUUGGUGCGCGAUGGGGGCGGAUCUUACUUGCCGCUCAAUGGGGCUUCCGCCCCGUCCCGUCGUAGUCGUCGGCCGCGGGGGGUGCGCGAUGGGGGCGGAUCUUACUUGCCGCUCACUGGGGCUUCCGCCCCGUCCCAUCGUCGCCUCCUUUYCGGGGCGCCCUAUUCCAAUUUUUUACUCUGUAGAGAAAACUUGGGCCGGGAGUUCCGGCAAAGAGGGCGGGA
RNAcentral lists this unclassified non-coding RNA (337 nucleotides) under Ephedra sp. M-ESP1. Its description in RNAcentral is "partial ITS1". The record is from RNAcentral. Lineage: Eukaryota; Viridiplantae; Streptophyta; Gnetopsida; Ephedrales; Ephedraceae.